AUUGAACGCUGGCGGCAGGCCUAACACAUGCAAGUCGAGCGGAUGAAGGGAGCUUGCUCCUGGAUUCAGCGGCGGACGGGUGAGUAAUGCCUAGGAAUCUGCCUGGUUGUGGGGGAUAACGUCCGGAAACGGGCGCUAAUACCGCAUACGUCCUGAGGGAGAAAGUGGGGGAUCUUCGGACCUCACGCUAUCAGAUGAGCCUAGGUCGGAUUAGCUAGUUGGUGGGGUAAAGGCCUACCAAGCCGACGAUCCGUAACUGGUCUGAAAGGAUGAUCAGUCGCCAUGGAAGGGAGACACGGUCCGGACUCCUAAGGGAGACAGCAGUGGGGAAUAUUGGACACUGGGGGAAAGCCUGAUCCAGCCAUGCAGCUUGUGUGAGGAAGGUCUUCGGAUCGGAAAGCACUUUAAGUUGGGAGGAAGGGCAGUAAGUUAAUACCUUGCUGUUUUGACGUUACCAACAGAAUAAGCACCGGCUAACUUCGUG
Molecule: ribosomal RNA, 484 nt
Filed under: uncultured bacterium
Lineage: Bacteria
Description: partial 16S ribosomal RNA
Rfam family: Bacterial small subunit ribosomal RNA
Source: RNAcentral